Molecule: ribosomal RNA, 491 nt
Filed under: uncultured bacterium
Lineage: Bacteria
Description: bacterial SSU rRNA
Rfam family: Bacterial small subunit ribosomal RNA
Source: RNAcentral
UCAGAUUGAACGCUGGCGGCAUGCCUUACACAUGCAAGUCGAACGGCAGCACGGGAGCUUGCUCCUGGUGGCGAGUGGCGAACGGGUGAGUAAUACAUCGGAACGUACCCUGAAGUGGGGGAUAACGUAGCGAAAGUUACGCUAAUACCGCAUAUUCUGUGAGCAGGAAAGAGGGGGAUCGCAAGACCUCUUGCUUUAGGAGCGGCCGAUGUCGGAUUAGCUAGUUGGUGAGGUAAAGGCUCACCAAGGCGACGAUCCGUAGCGGGGUCUGAGAGGAUGAUCCGCCACACUGGGACUGAGACACGGCCCAGACUCCUACGGGAGGCAGCAGUGGGGAAUUUUGGACAAUGGGCGCAAGCCUGAUCCAGCCAUGCCGCGUGAGUGAAGAAGGCCUUCGGGUUGUAAAGCUCUUUCGGUGGGGAAGAAAUUGCACAGGAUAAUACCUUGUGUAGAUGACGGUACCCGCAUAAGAAGCACCGGCUAACUACGUG